RNAcentral lists this unclassified non-coding RNA (239 nucleotides) under Hevea brasiliensis (rubber tree). Lineage: Eukaryota; Viridiplantae; Streptophyta; Magnoliopsida; Malpighiales; Euphorbiaceae. The record is from RNAcentral.
GUUGCCCGGUAACAAGAGCUGGUGAAAACUCCUUGCAAUGCUUGAUUAUCUUCAAUAUAACCAAUCCUUCAAUCUGAACAACUCGGAGAGGAGAAGCAACCUCUUCCGUAGCAGCAACCUGCAAAAAAGAUCUAGCCAUCGAGUUUGCCAUGAUUAGGGAUUCGAUGGAAGAUGUGAAUUGAAUCGCAGAAGCAGCUACGUGCGUGUUUUGGGAGGUGCAAAAGUGAAGAGAGUUUGUG